UGGUGGAGUGAUUUGUCUGGUUAAUUCCGAUAACGAACGAGACCUCGACCUGCUAAAUAGUGGGAGUCGGUAUCUGGAUGGGUAGAAGGGGAGGGUUUGGUGGGAGGGUGCUUGCACUUUCUCACCGCGCUCCUUGGAACCCUGAUCACCGGCUCUUCAUUUUACUUCUUAGAGGGACUGAUGAUGGUAAAUCAUCGGAAGUGAGGCAAUAACA
RNAcentral lists this ribosomal RNA (214 nucleotides) under uncultured eukaryote. RNAcentral's name for it is "partial 18S ribosomal RNA". It matches the Rfam family "Eukaryotic small subunit ribosomal RNA", at positions 1299 to 1458 of the family's 1831-position model. The record is from RNAcentral.